RNAcentral lists this long non-coding RNA (6299 nucleotides) under Triticum aestivum (bread wheat). Its description in RNAcentral is "long non-coding RNA (TAES_LNC010415)". Lineage: Eukaryota; Viridiplantae; Streptophyta; Magnoliopsida; Poales; Poaceae. The record is from RNAcentral.
CCCCUACUCACUAGCGCAUGUGAGCACUCUCCCAUCCUCCCUCUCUCUGCUCACUGUCUGCACCCGCGCCGAACAAAUGCCACGGCGCUCACCUGCCACCCUGCCCACAUGAGCCCGCUCCUGGCCGCGCCUCGCCGCUGUCGCUGAUGCUAUGAUACACCGCUCCUGUGGCGCCGCCUCGCCUCCGCCGCUGCUGGCCCGCACCUGCAGCUCGUUAGCCGUGCAGUAGCCGCCACGUUCCCCUUCCCCACGUGCGCUGCGCAGGCCAUCGCCUCCCACACACGCUGGAGUCCCCGCCUCCGCCAGCCACCAACGGCCGCAUCGUCUUUGCCCGUACACCGGCUCAGCCCCGUGACCGCGUCGUCUCGUGCUCCCCGCUGACCGCACCCCUGCCCCGCAAACACUGUCGCUGCUCGCCGCCACCCCUACACGUCGUCGCAACAUCACCCAGCACCACACCCGAGAUGCGCCGCAUCACGCUUGCCUACUUGGUGGUCGCCGUUCCCCUUUAGGGUCGCCGGAGGGCAGCUCCGGUGGACCGUCGCCGCCUUCUGUGCCCUGUCGGCGUGCCCGCACAGGCGCGGCCGGUUUAAAACGGUCGAUGUGCCACUAGUGAUAGGUCCCCGCACCUGGCUAAUUUGGUUAGUUAUCCCUAAUCACUCACUGACGUGUGGGGCCCGCCCUCUGUUGCAAUUAGUUUUUCCAAUUAAAUCGGUGACACUUACAGGCUGGCCCCACCUUUUAAUAAAUCUAAUUAGGCUUAAUUAAACUCAUAGUUAGAGCUGUGUCACUACUUGCUGGGUCCCACUAGGCCCUGUUGACCGGUCAACCCGCUGACUGGGCCAGUCGAGUCAUGACAUGUGGGUCCCUGUUGACCUGCUGACUCAGCUGACUGGCCCCACAUGUCAGCCGCACAUGCACAUCUAGUGUACCCACAACAUUUAACAUUUAAUAUAUUUUCGAAUUAAAAUAAAUCCAGGAAUUUCAGAAAUUGUUUAAAACUUUGAAAAUUAAUAGAAAAUAAACCAUAAGUCGGAUGAAAAUACUUUAUACAUGAAAGUUGCUCAGAAAAGUGAGAUGAAUCUGAAUAUGCAAUCCGUUUGUCCACCGCACGUCCCUAGCAUAGCGAACAUGCAACCAUCCACCUCCGUUUAGUCUUUCCGAAAACAUCAAACACCAGGAAUACUUUCUUGGAUGUUUUCACCCUUCACCGGCAUUACCUAGUACUGUGUUAGGUCACCUCUGACGCUACGUAUUUCCAUGUCUUGCUUUGUGAUGUAUUGUUGCUCUGUUAUUUAUUUGUUUCCCCUUCAUUGCUUAUUUUUGGUAGACCCCGAUACUAUGAUAUACCCCGAGACCGUUGAUGCUUGGAUGUUCGACUACAACUACGCUUUUGAAGAUUCCUUUUGUCCGCAGAGCAACCAGGCAAGCCCCCCUUCAUCUACUCGAUAUCGCCUAUUCCUUCUCUCUACUGCUUGCAUUAGAGUAGUGUAGCAUGUUACUGCUUUCCGUUAAUCCUAUUUUUAUGCAUAGCCUGUCUUUUCUACUACCGUUGUCACCUUUACCUACAAUCCUAAAUGCUUAGUAUAGGAUGCUAGUUUAUCAUCAAUGGUCCUACAUUCUUGUCCGUCUGCCAUGCUAUACUACUGGGCCGUGAUCACUCGGGAGGUGAUCACGGGUCUAUACUUAUAUACAUGAUAUAUGAUACAUGUGGUAACUAAAGUCGGGUCGGCUCGUAGAGUACCCGCAAGUGAUUCCGGUGUGGGGGCUGAAAGGAAAGGUGGUUCCAUCCCGGUAGUGGUGGGCCUGGGUUCCCAGUGGCCCCCGACUGUUACUUUCUGGUGGAGUGACAUGGCAGGUUGAGACCACCUAGGAGAGAGGUGGGCAUGGCCCUGGUCGGUGUCCGUGGUUACAUCAAUUAACACGCUUAACGAGAUCUUGGUAUUUGAUCUGAGUCUGGACACUGGCCUAUACGCACUAACCAACUACGUGGGAACAGUUAUGGGCACUCUACGUCGUGGUAUCAGCCGAAGCCUUCUUGACGUCAGCGACUGAGCGGCGCACGCUGGAUUAGACUGUAACGCCUGCUCUUGUAUUAGGGAGGCUAGGUCUGCUUACCUUCCACGUACGCAACUUGCAGGUGUGCAAUGGGCGAUGGCCCUAGACCCCUGCAUGCAUAGGAUUUAGACCGGCGUGCUGACCUCUCUGUUGUGCCUAGGUAGGGCUUCGACGUGUUGAUCUUCCGAGGCCGGGCAUGACCCAGGAAAGUGUGUCCGGCCAGAGGGAUCGAGCGUGUUGGGUAAUGUGGUGCACCCCUGCAGGGAUGUUUAUCUAUUCGAAUAGCCGUAUCUGUGACGCCCCGAGACCGAUGCACCAGGUGUCUUCCAGUUAUUCGCCGAUGUUGCCAUGUCAUUUGCUUGCGUGUUGCAUCUUAUCAUGUCAUCAUGUGCAUUGCACCAUCAUGUUUUCAAAACUUGCAUCAGUCUAGUUCUCCCCAUCCUCUCCGUUGUCCGUUCUAAGCCCAGACACACUUGCACGCGCCCGCGACAUGUCCGAAAUAUUAUUUUAUAAGUGGCCGGAAAAUGUUCUCGGAAUGGGUUGAAAGUUGGCGUGCGGUCUUAUUAUACUAUAGGUAGGCCGCCUGCCAAGUUUCAUCGCAUCCGGAGUCCGUUUGACGCCCCAACGGAUAACUAUAGCGGCAGUAUAGCCGGUCUUUGCUUCGGACGUUUUCGGUCUCCGGAAGCCGUGCCGGGCUGCUAUUUUCUUCUCUCCUCCCAGCCAACUCCCACUUUACACAGCCCACACAGCCCACCUAGUUUCCCCCUCUGUCCGGAGCCAUCCGAUGUUGAUCGAACGGUUCGAAAACAGGUGAAAACCCCCUCCUCUAGCCCUCCUUUUCCUAUUUAAACACCCCCUAGUCCAUUUUGGGCAUUCCUAUUCUAAACCCUAACCCUCUAGCCCUCCUUCCUCGGAUUCGGCGCCGCCACCUCGAAAUUCAUGUCCAGCCGCUGCUCCGCCGCCACUUGUCGCCUCCCCGCAGGCCAGCAUCGUCGCCAGCCUCGCCCUCCACCUCUCCCUGCUUGCCACGUCGCCCUCAAACCUCCACCCACGUCGCAGGCCCGCCGGGCCCAUCUGGAGCCCGCCCGGGCCUGGAACCGCGCCGCCUCCCGCAGCGCAGGAGUGCUCGACCCGCACCCCGUGCGCCUCCCGCCUUGGGCUCGAUCUGGAUCGGGACGCCACCGUCUGCAGCGCCCCUCGCGCCUCGCGGACCUCGUCGGAGCGCCGUUUUCCGUCGAGCUCGACCCCCUCUGCAGCCGUGCAAGUCACCACUUCAUCGGCCUCGUUGUACGCCAUCGGCCGAGCCUCCCAGCACCCACGCCUCACUCUUGCCACCUGUGUUUCCCCGUCCGUUGCCGGUGGACCUCGUCGCCGCUUGGAACGGAACCCCCGGGGCCAGAUCCACCCGGAUCCGGCCAGGUCCGACCUUCCCCGCCGCCAGCCGGUCGACCCCAGCACUGGAACGCCACCCCACCUCCAUACGGAGUCCGCCGCCGCUGCUCCCUGAACUCGAGGAGGACGAGCGCCCAACUCGCCACCUCUUUUGCCGCUCGCACGCACCUGGGCCGCAUGGGCCCCGCUAACCGGCCCAGCUUCUCUAAGGCCCAGCGACCGGCCUCCUCCCACCGAACUAGGCCAAGCUCAUGGUGAGCACCCUCCAGCCCCUCUGCUCCUGUUGUCCCAGCCAGUUUCGACCUAUUAAUGUUUUUUUAGAUCUGCGAAUUUAGUUAUUUUUUCAGAGACAACAGUUUUGCAGAAAAACCCUUCUAGUUCAUGCAUUUAAUUACUCCACAACCGUGCAUCGGAAUUAAACAAACUUAAUAUGUAAAAUGCUUAGAAUUUUGUAUAGAUUAAUAAUUUGCCACUUUCACCCAUGUUUAAGAUGUUUAAAAUGAUGUUUGCUUUAAUUUGCUUAAAUAACAUGCUAAAACGGUUUAAUUCAUAACUAAAUAACCGUAGCUCCAAACUUAAUAAACUUUAUAUGUAAAUAGGGUAGAAAAAUGCCUAGUUUAACAUGGUAUACUUGCUUUGCAUGUUUAAUAACUCUAAAAUUUGGUUUAGAGCAGAACAUGACCAAACCUAAUAUAUGCAUAUGGGGAUUUACCGGAUUUGUUGUUUGUUGUUCCGGCCUCAUUUAAACUUGCCUAGAUAGGUAGUUUUACUUUGCUUCACCUCUUGCCAUGCUAACCAACAUUUAAUUUUGUUGAGCACAUAAACGGGAGAGAACUAAAUAACUUGAAUGUGGUGUUUCGUCAAUAUGCAACUCGUUGCAUAUUGAGCUCCACUUAACUUGUAGUUUUGCUUGUGCACUUUGCCAUGCCAUGCAUCUUUAAACCGGACAUGCAUCAUACUUGGUUGCGCAUCAUGCCAUGCUUAUGUGAUGGUUGUUUACUAUGUUGUUUGCUCCUUUCCGGUGUUGCUUCUUCGGGUUGGUUCCAAUAAUGUCGCGUUUGUGAGGAUUCGUUCGACUACAUCCGUUUGUCUUCUUCAUGGACUCAUUCUUCUUCCUUCCGGGAUCUCAGGCAAGAUGACCAUACCCUCGAAAUCACUUCUAUCUUUGCUUGCUAGUUGCUUGAUCUUUUGCUAUGUCGUGAUACCUACCACAUGCUUUAUCAUGCCUCCCAUAUUGCCAUGUUAAGCCUCUAACCCACCUUGUCCUCGCAAACCGUUGUUUGGCUAUGUUACCGCUUUGCUUAGCCCCUCUUAUAGCGUUGCUAGUUGCAGGUGAAGAUGGAGUUUGUUCCAUGUUGGAACAUGGAUAUGUUGGGAUAUCACAAUAUCUCUUAUUUUAAUUAAUGCACCAAUAUGCUUGGUAAAGGGUGAAAGGCUCGGCCUUAUGCCUGGUGUUUUGUUCCACUCUUGCCGCCCUAGUUUUCGUCAUACCGAUGUUAUGUUCCUUGAUUUUGCGUUCCUUACGCGGUUGGGUUAUAAUGGGAACCCCUUGACAGUUCGCCUUGAAUAAAACUCCUCCAGCAAGGCCCAACCUUGGUUUUACCAUUUGCCACCUAAGCCUUCUUUCCCUUAGGUUCUGCAGACUCAAGGGUCAUCUUUAUUUUAAACCCCCGGGCCAGUGCUCCUCUGAGUGUUGGUCCAACCUGUCAGCCGCCGGUGGCCACCAGGGGCAACUCUGGGCUGGCCUACCGGCAGUUUGGACAAUCCUGUGUGCCCUGAGAACGAGAUAUGUGCAGCUCCUAUCGGGAUUUGUCGGCACAUCUGGGUGGCUUUGCUGGUCUUGUUUUACCAUUGUCGAAAUGUCUUGUAACCGGGAUUCCAAGUCUGAUCGGGUCUUCCUGGGAGAAGGAAUAUCCUUCGUUAACCGUGAGAGCUUGUGAUGGCCUAAGUUGGGACACCCCUGCAGGGUUUUGAACUUUCGAAAGUCGUGCCCGUUGUUAUGGGCAGAUGGGAAUUUGUUAAUAUCCGGUUGUAGAGAACUUGACGCUUAACUUAAUUAAAAUGCAUCAACCGCGUGUGUAGCCAUGAUGGUCUUUUUCCGGCGGAGUCCGGGAAGUGAACACGGUUCUUGUGUUAUGCUUGGACGUAAGUAGUUUCAGGAUCACUUCUUGAUCACUUCUAGUUCACGACCGUGCUUUGUUUCUCUUCUCGCUCUAUUUUGCGUAAGUUAGCCACCAUAUAUGCAAAUGCUUGCUGCAACUCCACCUCAACCCCUUUUCCUACCCAUAAGCUUAAAUAGUCUUGAUCGCGAGGGUGUGAGAUUGCUGAGUCCCCGUGACUCACAGAUUACUGCAAACAGUUGCAGGUGCCGAUGAUAACCGUGCAGGUGACGCAACCGAGAUCAAGGAGGAGCUCGAUGAAGAUCGUGUUCGUUGUGUUGUUUCGUUCUAGUUGAUCAGUAUUGGAGCCCAGUCGGGGCGAUCGGGGAUCUUUUGCAUUAGGGGUAGUCUUCUUUUAUUUUGGUUUCGUAGUCGGACCUUGAUUGUAUUCUGGAUGAUGUAAUACUAUAUUCAUGUAUUGUGUGAAGUGGCGGUUAUAAGCCAACUCUUUAUCCCUUUCUUAUUCAGUACAUGGGAUGUGUAAAGAUUACACCUCUUGCGACAUACCUACAAUGCGGUUAUGCCUCUAAGUCGUGCUACGACACAUGGGAGAUAUAGCCGCAUCGUGGGUGUUACAAGUUGGUAAUCAGAGCCUUCCCCGACUUAGGAGCCCCCUGCUUGAUCGAAUCGUUGGCGUUGUUGAGUCUAUAAAAAUGUUUUGAGUCUUAUAGGAUUAUAUAUAUCAAAGAG